GAACGGGUGAGUAACCGUGGGUGAUCUGCCCUGCACUUUGGGAUAAGCCUGGGAAACUGGGUCUAAUACCGAAUAGGACCACGCGCUUCAUGGUGUGUGGUGGAAAGCUUUUGCGGUGUGGGAUGGGCCCGCGGCNNNNNAGCUUGUUGGUGGGGUAAUGGCCUACCAAGGCGACGACGGGUAGCCGGCCUGAGAGGGUGACCGGCCACACUGGGACUGAGAUACGGCCCAGACUCCUACGGGAGGCAGCAGUGGGGAAUAUUGCACAAUGGGCGCAAGCCUGAUGCAGCGACGCCGCGUGAGGGAUGACGGCCUUCGGGUUGUAAACCUCUUUCAAUAGGGACGAAGCGCAAGUGACGGUACCUAUAGAAGAAGCACCGGCCAACUACGUGCCAGCAGCCGCGGUAAUACGUAGGGUGCGAGCGUUGUCCGGAAUUACUGGGCGUAAAGAGCUCGUAGGUGGUUUGUCGCGUUGUUCGUGAAAACUCACAGCUUAACUGUGGGCGUGCGGGCGAUACGGGCAGACUAGAGUACUGCAGGGGAGACUGGAAUUCCUGGUGUAGCGGUGGAAUGCGCAGAUAUCAGGAGGAACACCGGUGGCGAAGGCGGGUCUCUGGGCAGUAACUGACGCUGAGGAGCGAAAGCGUGGGGAGCGAACAGGAUUAGACACCCUGGUAGUCCACGCCGUANACGGUGGGUACUAGGUGUGGGUUCCUUCCUUGGGAUCCGUGCCGUAGCUAACGCAUUAAGUACCCCGCCUGGGGAGUACGGCCGCAAGGCUAAAACUCAAAGGAAUUGACGGGGGCC
Molecule: ribosomal RNA, 807 nt
Filed under: uncultured bacterium
Lineage: Bacteria
Description: bacterial SSU rRNA
Rfam family: Bacterial small subunit ribosomal RNA
Source: RNAcentral